GAUGAACGCUGGCGGCGUGCCUAAUACAUGCAAGUCGAGCGAACGGACGAGAAGCUUGCUUCUCUGAUGUUAGCGGCGGACGGGUGAGUAACACGUGGAUAACCUACCUAUAAGACUGGGAUAACUUCGGGAAACCGUAGCUAAUACCGGAUAAUAUUUUGAACCGCAUGGUUCAAAAGUGAAAGACGGUCUUGCUGUCACUUAUAGAUGGAUCCGCGCUGCAUUAGCUAGUUGGUAAGGUAACGGCUUACCAAGGCAACGAUGCAUAGCCGACCUGAGAGGGUGAUCGGCCACACUGGAACUGAGACACGGUCCAGACUCCUACGGGAGGCAGCAGUAGGGAAUCUUCCGCAAUGGGCGAAAGCCUGACGGAGCAACGCCGCGUGAGUGAUGAAGGUCUUCGGAUCGUAAAACUCUGUUAUUAGGGAAGAACAUAUGUGUAAGUAACUGUGCACAUCUUGACGGUACCUAAUCAGAAAGCCACGGCUAACUACGUGCCAGCAGCCGCGGUAAUACGUAGGUGGCAAGCGUUAUCCGGAAUUAUUGGGCGUAAAGCGCGCGUAGGCGGUUUUUUAAGUCUGAUGUGAAAGCCCACGGCUCAACCGUGGAGGGUCAUUGGAAACUGGAAAACUUGAGUGCAGAAGAGGAAAGUGGAAUUCCAUGUGUAGCGGUGAAAUGCGCAGAGAUAUGGAGGAACACCAGUGGCGAAGGCGACUUUCUGGUCUGUAACUGACGCUGAUGUGCGAAAGCGUGGGGAUCAAACAGGAUUAGAUACCCUGGUAGUCCACGCCGUAAACGAUGAGUGCUAAGUGUUAGGGGGUUUCCGCCCCUUAGUGCUGCAGCUAACGCAUUAAGCACUCCGCCUGGGGAGUACGACCGCAAGGUUGAAACUCAAAGGAAUUGACGGGGACCCGCACAAGCGGUGGAGCAUGUGGUUUAAUUCGAAGCAACGCGAAGAACCUUACCAAAUCUUGACAUCCUUUGACAACUCUAGAGAUAGAGCCUUCCCCUUCGGGGGACAAGGUGACAGGUGGUGCAUGGUUGUCGUCAGCUCGUGUCGUGAGAUGUUGGGUUAAGUCCCGCAACGAGCGCAACCCUUAAGCUUAGUUGCCAUCAUUAAGUUGGGCACUCUAAGUUGACUGCCGGUGACAAACCGGAGGAAGGUGGGGAUGACGUCAAAUCAUCAUGCCCCUUAUGAUUUGGGCUACACACGUGCUACAAUGGACAAUACAAAGGGCAGCGAAACCGCGAGGUCAGGCAAAUCCCAUAAAGUUGUUCUCAGUUCGGAUUGUAGUCUGCAACUCGACUACAUGAAGCUGGAAUCGCUAGUAAUCGUAGAUCAGCAUGCUACGGUGAAUACGUUCCCGGGUCU
This 1372-nucleotide ribosomal RNA is filed under the name uncultured bacterium. RNAcentral describes it as "bacterial SSU rRNA". It matches the Rfam family "Bacterial small subunit ribosomal RNA", at positions 28 to 1381 of the family's 1533-position model. The record is from RNAcentral.